Molecule: long non-coding RNA, 595 nt
Filed under: Bos taurus (domestic cattle)
Lineage: Eukaryota; Metazoa; Chordata; Mammalia; Artiodactyla; Bovidae
Description: long non-coding RNA NONBTAT009366
Source: RNAcentral
ACGCGCGAACGAGGCGGUGAGCGCCCAAUCUGGACUCCCCCUGCACUCUGUAAUUCCGGCCCUGGAGGCCUCCAGACCCGAAGAGAUCCUAAAAUCUUAGCCUCAGGGAUCCACCACUCCCUUGGCCUCAGAUUCUAGCUCCCAGAUCUGUCCGGCCUAGUUAUCCUGCCCCGGGGACUCUUCCACCCUUCCUCUCAGGAUCUAAAAUAGGAGCCCAUGGAGAGGUACCCAGUAAAGUCAGCCCUGGGUGCAGCCUCUGGGACCACGAUCCGUCCUCUCAAUUCUAACAGGAACUCCGUUAUCCCAGGCCCCGGGGCUCAACACUUAAAAUCUUAGACCUGAACCCACAGACCCAGCAAUGAGUGCAGUCUCACUGCUGGUUGCACCUAAAUCUGUAAACCCACAUUCUGGAUUUCCUAAACUCUGUUUCAGGGGCCUCCAGGCGGAGAAUUUCUAACCCACGAUUCUGACCCGCCUCAAACCUCUAGGGCUCUGGAUCUCAGAUUCGAGCGCUAGCUUGGGACGCCCCCACCUUGAGAAUCCCACUUGACCUGGCCAGUGCCUGGUACUUCAUGAUGCCUAUGCGUAGACUCAG